This is a small nuclear RNA of Phodopus roborovskii (desert hamster), 107 nucleotides long. Lineage: Eukaryota; Metazoa; Chordata; Mammalia; Rodentia; Cricetidae. The record is from RefSeq and is a predicted model, not a curated record.
GUGCUUGCUUUGGCAACACAUAUAUUAAAAUUGUGAUGAUACAGAGACUAUUAGCAUGGCCUCUGCUCAGAAAUAACACUCAAAAAUAAUAAUAAUCCAGUGUUAAC